UUUAAAAGUAUAGGAUUCAAGGGCUAUAAAGUGUCUGUUACAAACUAAAAAUAUUCACUCUUUUCACAUAGAUUUCCCAGUUAAGUAGGGUUGGAGGUAAAAACACGAGGGACUGCACAACAAAGAUUUUGGACAGGAUGAUGACAAACUCCCUCAUGUCCCAAUUCAACAUGAAAGGCCAUGGUUCCAAAAGGGCAUUCCAACCGACAGCCCUUUACACCAUUAUAACCGCUGCUGUCAAAAAGUGGGACAGCAAAGCCACAGACCACGAAAUUAAAUAUGGAAUGGCAGAACAUUUCAAACAUGCUCCUGGGCGGUCUGGUGGCGGAGGCUAUGUUCAAAGAAACAAAGCAGUGCAACACUGAGGAGGGAAAAAGGGAUUGUUACCGAGUUCAUCAGUCCACAUCAGUUUUGUUGUGUUUUGUGGCAG
Melanotaenia boesemani (Boeseman's rainbowfish) is the source of this 430-nucleotide long non-coding RNA. RefSeq lists it as uncharacterized. The transcript has 4 exons. The record is from RefSeq and is a predicted model, not a curated record. Lineage: Eukaryota; Metazoa; Chordata; Actinopteri; Atheriniformes; Melanotaeniidae.